UACAUGCAGUCGAGCGGAAGAUGGGAGCUUGUCCCUGAUGUUAGCGGCGGACGGGUGAGUAACACGUGGGUAACCUGCCUGUAAGACUGGGAUAACUCCGGGAAACCGGGGCUAAUACCGGAUGGUUGUCUGAACCGCAUGGUUCAGACAUAAAAGGUGGCUUCGGCUACCACUUACAGAUGGACCCGCGGCGCAUUAGCUAGUUGGUGAGGUAACGGCUCACCAAGGCGACGAUGCGUAGCCGACCUGAGAGGGUGAUCGGCCACACUGGGACUGAGACACGGCCCAGACUCCUACGGGAGGCAGCAGUAGGGGAAUCUUCCGCAAUGGACGAAAGUCUGACGGAGCAACGCCCGCGUGAGUGAUGAAGGUUUUCGGAUCGUAAAGCUCUGUUGUUAGGGAAGAACAAGUGCCGUUCAAAUAGGGCGGCACCUUGACGGUACCUAACCAGAAAGCCACGGCUAACUACGUGCCAGCAGCCGGGUAAAUUA
Molecule: ribosomal RNA, 491 nt
Filed under: Bacillus amyloliquefaciens
Lineage: Bacteria; Bacillati; Bacillota; Bacilli; Caryophanales; Bacillaceae
Description: bacterial SSU rRNA
Rfam family: Bacterial small subunit ribosomal RNA
Source: RNAcentral